GAUGAACGCUGGCGGCGUGCCUAAUACAUGCAAGUCGAGCGAACAGACGAGGAGCUUGCUCCUCUGACGUUAGCGGCGGACGGGUGAGUAACACGUGGAUAACCUACCUAUAAGACUGGGAUAACUUCGGGAAACCGGAGCUAAUACCGGAUAAUAUAUUGAACCGCAUGGUUCAAUAGUGAAAGACGGUUUUGCUGUCACUUAUCGAUGGAUCCGCGCCGCAUUAGCUAGUUGGUAAGGUAACGGCUUACCAAGGCAACGAUGCGUAUCCGACCUGAGAGGGUGAUCGGCCACACUGGAACUGAGACACGGUCCAGACUCCUACGGGAGGCAGCAGUAGGGAAUCGUCCGCAAUGGGCGAAAGCCUGACGGAGCAACGCCGCGUGAGUGAUGAAGGUCUUCGGAUCGUAAAACUCUGUUAUUAGGGAAGAACAAAUGUGUAAGUAACUAUGCACGUCUUGACGGUACCUAAUCAGAAAGCCACGGCUAACUACGUG
This 497-nucleotide ribosomal RNA is filed under the name uncultured bacterium. RNAcentral's name for it is "partial 16S ribosomal RNA". It matches the Rfam family "Bacterial small subunit ribosomal RNA", at positions 28 to 507 of the family's 1533-position model. The record is from RNAcentral.